RNAcentral lists this ribosomal RNA (253 nucleotides) under uncultured bacterium. RNAcentral describes it as "partial 16S ribosomal RNA". It matches the Rfam family "Bacterial small subunit ribosomal RNA", at positions 524 to 776 of the family's 1533-position model. The record is from RNAcentral.
UACGAAGGGUGCAAACGUUGCUCGGAAUUAUUGGGCGUAAAGCGCACGUAGGCGGCUUUGCAAGUCCCAUGUGAAAUCCCACGGCUCAACCGUGGAAGUGCAUGGGAAACUGCAGAGCUUGAGUACUUAAGAGGAUCGCGGAAUUCCCGGUGUAGAGGUGGAAUUCGUAGAUAUCGGGAGGAACACCAGUGGCGAAGGCGGCGAUCUGGGCCAAUAUUGACGCUGAGGUGCGAAAGCGUGGGGAGCAAACAGG